RNAcentral lists this ribosomal RNA (484 nucleotides) under uncultured bacterium. Its description in RNAcentral is "partial 16S ribosomal RNA". It matches the Rfam family "Bacterial small subunit ribosomal RNA", at positions 30 to 507 of the family's 1533-position model. The record is from RNAcentral.
AUUGAACGCUGGCGGCAGGCCUAACACAUGCAAGUCGAGCGGAUGAAGGGAGCUUGCUCCUGGAUUCAGCGGCGGACGGGUGAGUAAUGCCUAGGAAUCUGCCUGGUAGUGGGGGAUAACGUCCGGAAACGGGCGCUAAUACCGCAUACGUCCUGCGGGAGAAAGUGGGGGAUCUUCGGACCUCACGCUAUCAGAUGAGCCUAGGUCGGAUUAGCUAGUUGGUGGGGUAAAGGCCUACCAAGGCGACGAUCCGUAACUGGUCUGAGAGGAUGAUCAGUCACACUGGAACGGGGACACGGUCCAGAGUCCUAAGGGAGGCAGCAGAGGGGAAUAGUGGACAAAGGGCGAAAGCCUGGUCCAGCCAUGCCGCGUGUGUGAAGAAGGUCUUCGGAUUGUAAAGCACUUUAAGUUGGGAGGAAGGGCAGUAAGUUAAUACCUUGCUGUUUUGACGUUACCAACAGAAUAAGCACCGGCUAACUUCGUG